AAACUGCUCGCUCACCAUUGCCUAUCCCACCAUCAGCCAAAACCACACUGGGGACCAAAAUAAUAUCAAUAAUAAUAAAUGAUCAGACAGUAAAGAUAAAACUAGAAAGAACCAACCCCUUGAAAGCCAGGAAACAAAACAACCGACCGACCGACCGACCGACCGACCGACCGAUCGAUCCACGCCGACCAACAACCAUGCCCACCCCGGAAUCCGCCGCCUUCCUCGCCAAAAAGCCCACCGUAGCCCCCAGCUACGACGGCGUCGACUUCGAAGACACCGCCGCGCUCCACAACGCGCGCGACGCCAUCAUCCGCGAGCAAUGGGUGCGCAGCAUGAUGGCGCGGCUGGUCGGGGAGGAGCUGGGCAAGUGCUACCGGCGCGAGGGCGUGAAUCAUCUGGAGAAGUGCGGGAUGUUGAGGGACCGAUAUUUCGAGCUUCUGAAGGAGGCGAAGAUUAAGGGGUAUAUGUUCCAGGAGAAGAAUUACGUCUCGAAAUCGGCGUCGCCGUGAGAGGGUGUGCGGAGUGGCGGGGGGCGGAGGUCCUUGCGGAUUGGCCCUAUCGAGGUGCGGGAGACAGCGAUACGUGUUCGAGGUGGACGCUACGAGAUUGUAUUCGACCAGACAAUCGAAUUGGAUACCUGAGUUUGCAGGCCUUUGGGAUGAAGCGCGGUGAUGGAAUCGGACUACGUGCGCUACGGGGCACUGUCCUGGUGUUGUGUUGGGUCGGAAGGGCAUCUUCUUGUUCGUGGUGACGGAGACGUCACUUCGUUUCCCGCCGGCAUUUCGAAAACCCAUCUCGACUGGUAUCGUCGUUCUCAAUUGCGGCUUUUUGUGUUUUUCUUCCAGUUCUGGCUGUGAUACAAAAGACACUGUUCAUUGUUAGAUAGUUAAACUAUCUUCGUGAUCUUGCUUUUCCUCCCGCAGACCAGGAUUAUGUUUUCCGUGUCGAUGAUGCCAGUUACAGUGGGGGAAAAUGAAUAGACCGGCGGUGCACUUACUGUAUAUAAUGGAUAGAUUUAAGGGACAAUAAAAAAGGUUAAAAAUUUUUAGAAGC
Molecule: small RNA, 1056 nt
Filed under: Histoplasma capsulatum var. duboisii H88
Lineage: Eukaryota; Fungi; Ascomycota; Eurotiomycetes; Onygenales; Ajellomycetaceae
Description: Histoplasma capsulatum H88 hypothetical RNA
Source: RNAcentral